GCGUUUCCGCUCGUGAGCGCCCCCUCGCGGAGUGGAUGUCUGAUUCCUCCCGAAGAGAUCUCUCACUCUUUGGGGAUUCUGGUUCGAGGAGCACUCUGGGAAAACACCUCACGUGCUCCUCCCACGACAGUAUCAUGUAUUUUUGUCUGUGAAUUUUAAAAAGUGUAAAUCUGACGGAAUGAAUAAACUUCUAUAACAGAGGACGGGUAUUUUUUAGAAAAUCGGGCGCCCCCUCUCGGUUAUUGUCUGUAAUACAAUGGAGAUAACAGACGUACGAGUUCAGCAUUCCACAUUAUAAUUUUAAUAUUAUAUAAUUUUAUAAACAAAUUGCCGGUAUCCUCGACGUUUAAAUGUCUGAAUUCAGCAGAUAUUUUUCUGACUGUUGUAAUUUUCUACUUCACCACUAGAUGGCAGCAGAACAGAUUUAAACUGAUGUAAUCCAGCAGCUAAAACCCAGAAAAGGCCACAGUUUAUGCAUACGUUUGUUGAUGGGAAAUGUUGAGAUUAAAUAAAAACACUUUACAUACUUGUCAGUAAAUUUAGAGAAUAAAAAGAGGAACAGAUCAUUCUAAUAUUUAUAAAUGUCAAAUACAUGUUGUCUUAGAUUUAAUUGUUUAUUGUUGUUAUAUUACUCCAAACAUAUUUUAUUUUUUUACUUUUAUUCUUAGUAAAUAAAAAAAAAAUUAAUUUAUUUUCUUUUUUUUGCUUUUAUAAAAUUGUUCAGAAAUCCCGAAAUCUGAAAGAAAACUGUGACCCAAAAUUUGGUUCAAUUUAAGGUUUGAACCAAACUCCUUUCACUGUGUCACCUGCAGAAGUUCUCAGGUGUUCUCAGGUGUCCCUGGGGGUGGACCUUAGACAGAACCCUCCAGAACUCUCACCUGUGAGCCUCCAGGGUUCUGGAUCCCUUUAAACACCCGAGAGUUCACGUGAACCACAAACUCUAAAAAAGGCCAAAGUCGCCUCCUGCUGGAGUCUCGUGGUGUCCCGGAGAACUCUUCUGGGCCGGCUGGUUCUGUUUGCUGUGCAGAAACAAGAGCAGACCCGGUUCCGUCCAGAGCCGGACAGCAUGGAGGAGACAUGAGGAUGAAACUGGCCUCCAUGAAGACCCUCAGAGCAUCACCUCCCAGGAAAGAGCGCCACCACCCAUCAUCCACACGUCACUGCAGAUCCACGUCCUCAUGACGAACAAGGGUAAAGAGGAGCCGGACCCGCCCGGUACCACGCUCCGUCCUCGCUCUCGGGCCUCCAACCGGAGACGAUGAGGAACAGCGACGAUCCCAAAGAAACAAACUGGGAACGAGGAGGAGAUCUUCAGGAGGAAACGCCGCCGCAGUGCAGCCGGCCGGCCUCAGAGGGUGAGGCAUGGAGGGGGGAGUGUGAUGGUGCGGGAGGGACAAACUCCACAAAGAUGAGGUCAGAGCCAGAGAGCCUCCAUGGAGACACACGUGAGGCUCUGGAGCUGCAGGUUCAUCCUGAGUUAGACCAUGAAAGAGGAAACAUCUGAAGACUCAAGACGAAGAAGCCAUCUUCAUCCCUCCUUCUGGAGGCAGCAGAGAUGAAGAUGCUGAGCUUCUCUGUGGGAGGGGCCAGGAUGGAUCAGAGGAUCAGAUCAUGAUGUUCUGGAGAUCAGAUGGAGAUGUUUGGACAGGGAGGAUGAUGGGAAUACCAGGAAAGAGGAGGUUCAUGGAUGAAGGAGUAGAAGGAGGCGGAUGUGAAGACACUUUUAACUCUUCUGGUUUUGGUGAUAAUAAAACACAGAUCAGACAAAAAAGAUCUAAUUUUUUAUUCAGUUUUUCAUUUGUAAUAAAAUGAACUUUUUGGUUCCAGUUUUGUCUUAAA
Long non-coding RNA from Oryzias melastigma (Indian medaka), 1839 nucleotides. RefSeq lists it as uncharacterized. The record is from RefSeq and is a predicted model, not a curated record. The transcript is spliced from 4 exons. Lineage: Eukaryota; Metazoa; Chordata; Actinopteri; Beloniformes; Adrianichthyidae.